RNAcentral lists this ribosomal RNA (849 nucleotides) under uncultured bacterium. RNAcentral's name for it is "bacterial SSU rRNA". It matches the Rfam family "Bacterial small subunit ribosomal RNA", at positions 54 to 916 of the family's 1533-position model. The record is from RNAcentral.
CAAUGCAGUCGAGCGAGAAUCGUAGCAAUACGAGGACAGCGGCGAAAGGGAGAGGAAUACGUAGAUAUCUGCCCCUGAGACCGGGAUAGCGUCGGGAAACUGGCAGUAAUACCGGAUAACGUCUUUGGACCAAAGGUGUGAUUCCGCUCGGGGAUGAGUCUACGCCCUAUUAGCUAGUUGGUGGGGUAAUGGCCUACCAAGGCGAUGAUGGGUAGCGGGUGUGAGAGCAUGAUCCGCCUCACUGGGACUGAGAACUGCCCAGACACCUACGGGUGGCUGCAGUCGAGAAUCUUUGUCAAUGGACGAAAGUCUGAACAAGCGACGCCGCGUGCGGGAUGAAGGCCUUCGGGUUGUAAACCGCUGUCGUAGGGGAACAAAUGUAGAGGGGUUCUCCCCUUUAUUUGAGUGAUCCUAGGAGGAAGGAGAGGCUAAGCUCGUGCCAGCAGCCGCGGUAAGACGAGCUCUCCAAACGUUAUUCGGAAUCACUGGGCUUAAAGAGUUCGUAGGCGGCUCAGCAGGUCAGGUGUGAAAUCCCACAGCUCAACUGUGGAACUGCGCUUGAAACCGCUGGGCUUGAGGGAGACAGAGGUAAGCGGAACAGAUGGUGGAGCGGUGAAAUGCGUUGAUAUCAUCUGGAACACCGGUGGCGAAAGCGGCUUACUGGGUCUCUUCUGACGCUGAGGAACGAAAGCUAGGGUAGCAAACGGGAUUAGAUACCCCGGUAGUCCUAGCCGUAAACGAUGAGCACUAGUCUGUGGGGACCCUCACAUCCUCUCGGACGUAGCGAAAGUGUUAAGUGCUCCGCCUGGGGAGUAUGGUCACAAGGCUGAAACUCAAAGGAAUUGACGG